RNAcentral lists this unclassified non-coding RNA (354 nucleotides) under soil metagenome. RNAcentral describes it as "partial contains 5.8S ribosomal RNA, internal transcribed spacer 2, and large subunit ribosomal RNA". The stretch from base 1 to 120 matches the Rfam family "5.8S ribosomal RNA", at positions 35 to 154 of the family's 154-position model. The record is from RNAcentral.
GAUGAAGAACGCAGCGAAACGCGAUAUGUAAUGUGAAUUGCAGAAUUCAGUGAAUCAUCGAAUCUUUGAACGCACAUGGCGCCUUCCAGUAUCCUGGGAGGCAUGCCUGUCCGAGCGUCGUUUCAACCCUCGAGCCCCCGUGGCCCGGCGUUGGGGAUCUGCCCAGGCAGUCCCCGAAAACCAGUGGCGGACCCGUUACAGGCCCUUCCCUUGCGUAGUAGCAUUCGCCUCGCAUCGGGAGCCGGCGGGCUUCCAGCCUCUAAACCCCCAUCAAGUCUGCCCCGGCGGCACCAAGGUUGACCUCGGAUCAGGUAGGAAUACCCGCUGAACUUAAGCAUAUCAAUAAGCGGAGGA